UGUGGAACCAUAAUAUCAGUUGGAGCUCCAGGUAUCUCUCCAACAGUCUUGGAAGCACCAGCAAAGUGUUUACGAGGUCGAAGGUAAUGCACCUUGCUAGGAUUCACUAUUGAAUGAUUGUGAUCCUCAACGAAUUUAGUCACAACCCAACCAUCUGAACUCUUCCUCUCUAUCCGAAGCAUAGCAUUGCAACUCUCUGUAUUCUUCCUUCUGAGAAUUUCUUUAGAACAAGAGAAGUCCCAACUAAUGAUAGGUCCAUCAGGCUUAGCGCGGCUGUACUGACCAACAUGUAUGCUAAAGCCCACACGCCUAGCAUAUGCGUCAAAAAAAUUCUUUGCUGCUUCUUCUGUUUGAAACUCCAUCCCCACAUAUGGCUUCUCU
RNAcentral lists this unclassified non-coding RNA (381 nucleotides) under Hevea brasiliensis (rubber tree). Lineage: Eukaryota; Viridiplantae; Streptophyta; Magnoliopsida; Malpighiales; Euphorbiaceae. The record is from RNAcentral.